Molecule: ribosomal RNA, 253 nt
Filed under: uncultured bacterium
Lineage: Bacteria
Description: partial 16S ribosomal RNA
Rfam family: Bacterial small subunit ribosomal RNA
Source: RNAcentral
UACAGAGACUGCAAGCGUUAUUCGGAUUCACUGGGCGUAAAGGGUGCGCAGGCGGCCGUGUGUGUGAGGCGUGAAAGCCCGGGGCUUAACCCUGGAAUUGCACCUCAAACUACAUGGCUAGAGCAUUGGAGAGGGUAGCAGAAUUCAUGGUGUAGCAGUGAAAUGCGUAGAUAUCAUGAGGAAUACCAGAGGCGAAGGCGGCUACCUGGACAAUUGCUGACGCUCAGGCACGAAAGCGUGGGGAGCAAAAGGG